Molecule: long non-coding RNA, 5759 nt
Organism: Triticum aestivum (bread wheat)
Lineage: Eukaryota; Viridiplantae; Streptophyta; Magnoliopsida; Poales; Poaceae
Exons: 4
Source: RefSeq, a predicted model, not a curated record
GCAGUCAGACCUAGCCCGCGCCCCCGUAGCCGCCUCCUCUCCUGCCGCCGCCGCCUCGGCCUUGUUCGCCUCCUCUCCUGCCGCCGCCACCGCCUUGGCCUCGGCGCCCAUGCUCUCCCGGCGCCCGUCGGCCUCGACCCGGCCUCAGUAGGAGGAGCUCGGCCUCGAGACUCGGCAGGAGGAGCUCGCCCUCGAGUAGGACUCAACAGGAGGAGGGGAGCAGCAGCUGCGCCCCAUGCUCUCUCGCCACCCUCGAGGUGAAGGUAACGGAUGAAAUCCCAUGGACGAGCUCGAGCUGGAAGGACGCGGACGGCAGCGGCUUGGACCAACAUCGUCCUGCCGGUGCCUUGCCGGUGAGCGCCACGCAUGGUGCAGCAGGCGGCAGGCACGACUUUGGGAGCUGCGCAUCGAGCGACGACUACUGCAUCUGCCUCCAGCACCAAGCCAAGAUGUAGAGCGGUGGUCGACGGCGGCAACCUGCUCCCAAGUUGCAAGUGAUGUUGCCAGAUAGCAGUAUACCAAGGGUUCUAAGAAUUUGAUUCAUAAAUGUAGCCAAGAUGCAGCGCGGUGGUCGACGGCGGCGGCCUGCUCCCAAGUUGCAGGUUGCUAAUGCUGUUCAAACAGGUGCGUGCAUGGACAUCUUCAUGAUUACUGAUUAUAAGAUCUUCAUGAUUACUGAUUAUAAGUGAACACACGUAUCUUCUCUCGAGGUUCUGAGUGUUGAGAGUGGUUGCUCAUUGUUUCUGUAUUCAAAUACUGAUGAAUCAACACUUCCAAAAGAUAUACUGAUGGCCAAAGAAGAUUGGGGAAGUUCCACUAUGUUCCUACAGACUGUUGGCCAAAAAAGAUUGGGGGAAAAUAGCUCUGGAGAAGGAUUGAGAUGAAAAUGGGAUUGGGAUCUCACUUCGCAAUGCAUUGAAGAAUCAUGGUAGAACUUUUUAUAUUGCUGACUGAGAUGGCAAUUAGGAUUUAUUGCUUUUUACUAAUUUUUUAUUUUUUCUACUUUGCUCAGAUAAUUUAUACAGCCUGUUCUUUCUUUAGUACCAAUGAAUAACUUGGUUACACAAUAUACUUGAAGAUUGCAUUAGGAACAAAAUGCUUAGCAGACCAAACUAAUUAGGUAAGCUGAGAGCUGAUUGGUCUAACCCUAGAAUAAUUGGUUGCCAGUCAUAGAAUCAUCUUGUACUGUUGUACAUAACUAAUUUUGACUUGAACUUUGGUGUGGUCGUGUAUCUUUGAAGUUUUCUGGAGACAGACUACUCUUGCAUCAUUAUGUGCAACCCACAUGUAUCUCACUCGGCGAGACAUGCACACCUAUGCCACAUCUUUACAUGUAAGUUUGUUUUGCUUAGCCAUGGACAGUGAGGUCCCCCUUCUCUUCAUUCCCAGUUCAUUUAUUUAAUAUCAAUAUCUUUACUCUAGGAUUUAUGUCCUUGCCAACUCUACAAUUGUUCAUUGCACACUCAGAGUCUAGAUAUUGAAUUAGCUACUUUUGCGAUCCCUGGACUAUACGAGUCAAGUAUUUCUGGAUUGCCCAUUUUUCAGCUGAGUUAAGGCUUUUUCUAUUGUUUGCAAAUGAAAAUUAUUUGAUGUACCCCUGGUAUGAUACAAGAAGAGUUUGCUCUUUCCCUUUGUAAAAUUUUCUGCACACGAUGUUGUCGAGGAUGAUUUCAGAAUUUAUAUGCUCAUUGCUUCCAUUGCUUCUUUCCCCAUUAACUGAUAUUAGACAGUGGUCUAUAAAUGUUGCACCUAACUCUGUUUUCCAAGGAAAUACGAAUGAAGUUAUAGUACUUGCAAACUGCGACUCUUCGCUGAACAAGAAAAGUAAAAAUGAUAACAUAUCAGGCAGUAAAAUUACAUGGCUGAUCUCUGUUUUGUGCAUGUCAGGUGAGCAUUAUGAGUUGUUCUACUUCUCUUAAGAGAGUGUACUUUCCUCUCAUCAGAUGCUCACUCUGGAAUAAACAAAUCUUUUGGGAUGUAACCUGUUCUUAGUUUUGAUGCCUUACCGUCUGCCUUCUCCUCUCCUUUAUGUUGUUUUUUGUAAAUUAUUUGUCUAGGCUACUACCAUAACUUGUUGGUUUAGUUUAGGUGUGUAGGAAAAAUUUGCAGAUGAAUCACGCUAUCAGGUUUAGGCAUGCACAUGGCCACUAAUAAUAAUAAAAAUUGAUAUUUGAUGAAGCCAUCAUCAUGUCAUGUAAUUACUUGCAGAACAACUAUAUUAUUUUUUGGGGCGGUAAAGCGGAAACGAUAGGACUCUGCAACUCAUGUGAGUGUUGUUUGAUUAUUUACUUUUUCAAGCGUGUGGAUGUCGUUGGCAUGUUUAGUAUACGCACGAAGAUAUGCAAACUGUAAAAGUGGUUUCCUGGCGUCAUAUUUUUUUCUCCUGGGAACGAAUGAACUGUUCGUCAGGGAGCGAUCACCCCACCGAACGUUUUUGUUCGAUCUGGGGGAGGAGCUGGAGCGAACGAUUCACCCCAGGCCCCCAUGCAAACAGUUGCCCAUGCAGGCAAAAAUAGAACCCUGAUUGGGCCUUUACGACCUCCAAUUAGGCCAAAAAAUGGCCCAGUUUUUUGUGACGCCUCAACACUUGGGUCAUCACUCAAGGUUAUCGCUUUUGAGUUUCAGGUGAUAUUUUUUUAAUUGAUUUUUAGGAAAUCAUGAUGCUAAAUAUAUGGAUUGUGUCAGUUAGCUAAUCUAUUGGCUCUUUGAUGUGUAUGAUGACAUGAUGGCAAUGAAAAUACAUUUUCGAACUGAAAGUAUUUGUGUAGUUUAAUUUUGACAGAGUAUAGGAGCAUACUCAAUGUCUUCCGCUUUGUGUAUGAUGGCGGCUUUUCUUGCUUAUAGUAAUCAGCUAAAUAAAUAUGUGGGCAUUUAAAAAUAUCUUUGCAAUUAGGCCAGGCGUGAGAAAAAAAAUUCAAAGACGACGAUCUCUUUUGGUGUAUUUCUAUUCUCCCUGUUCCAAAUCUUUUUGUUUGGAUGCCACCGGCACACCACAUGUUGUUCUGAAGAUAUCAUGCUAUGGGACUUUUCAGCAGAAUCAAAACAAAAGGAAGCUAUGGUGUUACUUGCAUCUCAGUUUUCACAUUCUUCUCAGGUUUCACAAAAACAUAAACAUGAUUGGAUGGGCGUCCUUGCCGGCGACCUCGCUAUCUCCAACCCAUCCACAGGUAUUGCAGCUCCUUCUCAUCCAAUUUAUUCACUUUUCGUCCUCUUUGCUGUGAUUUGGUGGUUGAAAUUAAUUCGUCUGGAUAGGGAGGAGCAAUUCACUAAUCAUUUACACCAUGUAUACUUCAUUUUAUUUCAUGUAUAAUCUGUAUAAGAAAGAAAAGUGGGGUAGCUCCUCCGUUUCAGUGCUUUAGCCUGAAAAAUAUUGAGUUUCCCUUCAGAUAAUUUGAGUGAUGUUGAUAUGAUAGUUAAUCAUAUAACCUCCAUUUCAUGUAUAACAUUACUUGAAAAUUUAUAGCAUGUGGAUCACCACAAAGAAUAAUCUCCCUUUAGAUAAUUUGAGUGGAUACCCAUUUGAUAGUUAAUCAAUUAUGCUAAUAACGAGGGCGUCCGGACCAAUCUGCCUGCCUCCAAGAGCGCCUUUUUUAGGGGUAUCAUGACAACCUGUGUAUUUCCUGUGAUAGGUUGAUGUAGUAGAUCUGAAUUUAUGGGAUUGGUUCUGAAAUUUGGGAUUCGGUGACUCUGCAUUUUAGAGUAGCGGCAUAAAGCUAUAAGAAUACCCAUGUUCUGAAUUUAUCUUUAGCCUAUGCUUCAGUUCAGGUGCAUUCUUCUUGAUUGUAGUCGGUGUUGUGUUGCUCCUGCGAUAAGUUGUUAUUUGGAUUUACGGUAUUAAGUUACCUCUUUCUCUAUUUGUUUUGUUUGGUGCUUGUCUUGCCAUAGAAAUUGCGCACCUGAACAUGCCCUUUUUUGUACCAUUUUUGCAAUAUUCAUCAAAAGAACAUAUGCAAUUUACUGAUUCUGUAUACCUUGUUCGAUCAGUGUUGUCAUGGUUCGCCUUCUCCUUCAAAUAAGUUUAUCAUGCCCUAUUAGUUUGCAUCUCGUGCUGGUUUGUGCUUAGAUAAUCCCUUUAGGUGUGUAAGUUCUACACAAUCAUAUGACUUAUAGAAUGCCAAAAUCUUCAGACCUUUUCUUCCGUAGUUUCUCCAAAAUGUACUAUGGUAACUGCAGGCAUAAAUCCAUGGUUUGCAUACUUCAAUGGCCCAUCUGCUUGUUAUUUUAAUGCAUCCUCUCUUGAUUCAUUUUCGUUUGACUGGAUCUCCUCGCCUUGUCAUCUGAUUGCUCUUCGUUUGCUGAUCUGCUUACCAAGGUUGGUGUUUGCUCUUUAAAAUUCCCUAUUACUCCCGGUCUUUCGUAUUGGGUGCCUAUUUCAAUUUCACUUUAUGAAGUAUUUCACUGAUUACAUAUAUAUCGCCUAUCUCACAACGAGUUCACCUUCUGUACCUACUUUGGUGAACACAUGUAUUUCAUCUAUCUCACUCAUUGUCAUGCCUACUUCAGUUUCACAUAUCUAAAUAUGUGUGAUCUGGUCACCUUAGGUUGAGUUACAUGCAUUUUGUUGCACACUCUUUUUUCGAUCUAUUUCGCCCUAUAGGAUGCAUUUGUUUUUCUUGUUCUCCUUUUGUUCUUGUGCCAUUUUCAUAACUGGGAUCAUAACACUCACUCUUUUUUGGGUGUAAUAUAUGGUCACCCAGAAAAUACCAAAGGAAGUAGCUUGUCGUUUGAAUAUCCCAAGCAUGGACUGGUGGGACUACAGUUUGGCAAACAACGCUUCACUAGCUAGGACCGAGUAUGACGAACAAUCACAUGAUGUCUGCAUCUUGAUUAACAUGGAUACAAUAAAUUUCUCCUAAAAACAGGACUUGAGGUUGGUAUGGAUGUCCUGCUUACAUUCAAGAUGAACGUUGGCAAUGAUCUGUACAUGAUAGUUUGCUUCGAUGACAUCUGAGAGGUUUAUAGGUCCUAAUUGAGGUUGUCUUCAGUUCAUUAGUUUUUAUCUCUGCUAUGUUAGCUCUUUUGUGAGGGUCCAGUUUGCUGACCACCUUAGAAGAAACACGCACUUAGAUCAAAAGAUUUUUUUAUGUUAGGAGGUUUCCAUCCAAUCUUCUGAAGAUAGUUUGUUAAUAUAUGUGAUCAUGUACCAUGUGUUCCAUUGCAUAUGACAACAUUGUAUUGGACAUAUGUGGCCAAAGAUCUAUACUGAAACAUCUUGAGAAAUCAUCAGGGAGAAUACUAUGAAUGAGAAUGGACUAAGAAAUUGUGAUACACCUUCCUUUAGGUGCAUUUUCAUUCAGAUGGUGAUCCAGGUUUGUUGGAGCAGUACAUGCUAACCACCAAUUUGUUUUCUGAUCUUUUUAGUACAAGGCUUUACCAAACUAUCAAUUGAAGUGCAGGUCAACCAAGACUUCAUAUACAUAUGCUGAAAGAUGAAAACUAAAGACCAUGGAGAAGAUCACACCAUCUUUAUCCCAGGAAAAACAACUGCAUGGUCACUUGACUUUAUAGACAACACGCUGCACUAUUAACUUUGGUUUAAUUGAUCGACAAUGCGUCUUUGUUAUUAGUUAUAUACUAAGGAACAUGCCUAUGAGUAUAUACUUAGGCUAUGUGUGAGACCAGAUUGUUAACAUAAUACUCUUAGUGAACCCCUAAUUUAUGUUGUCCCUAUGCUUUGGGAGGUUGCAGCUGACAUCCUCGACAAAAAUACCUCCUUAACAAUCGUUCCCGCUUUUCUUUACUUGAAAUUGUUUCUCUGC